UACGGGGGGGGUAAGCGUUGUUCGGAAUUACUGGGCGUAAAGGGCUCGUAGGCGGUCAACUAAGUCGGACGUGAAAUCCCUCGGCUUAACCGGGGAACUGCGUCCGAUACUGGAUGGCUUGAGUUCGGGAGAGGGAUGCGGAAUUCCAGGUGUAGCGGUGAAAUGCGUAGAUAUCUGGAGGAACACCGGUGGCGAAGGCGGCAUCCUGGACCGACACUGACGCUGAGGAGCGAAAGCCAGGGGAGCAAACGGG
This 253-nucleotide ribosomal RNA is filed under the name uncultured bacterium. RNAcentral describes it as "partial 16S ribosomal RNA". It matches the Rfam family "Bacterial small subunit ribosomal RNA", at positions 524 to 776 of the family's 1533-position model. The record is from RNAcentral.